Molecule: ribosomal RNA, 206 nt
Filed under: uncultured bacterium
Lineage: Bacteria
Description: partial 16S ribosomal RNA
Rfam family: Bacterial small subunit ribosomal RNA
Source: RNAcentral
CACGCAGGCGGUCUGUCAAGUCGGAUGUGAAAUCCCCGGGCUCAACCUGGGAACUGCAUCCGAAACUGGCAGGCUAGAGUCUUGUAGAGGGGGGUAGAAUUCCAGGUGUAGCGGUGAAAUGCGUAGAGAUCUGGAGGAAUACCGGUGGCGAAGGCGGCCCCCUGGACAAAGACUGACGCUCAGGUGCGAAAGCGUGGGAGCGAACA